UACAGAGGUCUCAAGCGUUGUUCGGAUUCAUUGGGCGUAAAGGGUGCGUAGGCGGCGGGGUAAGUCGGGUGUGAAAUCUCGGAGCUUAACUCCGAAACUGCAUUCGAUACUGCCGUGCUUGAGGACUGGAGAGGAGACUGGAAUUUACGGUGUAGCGGUGAAAUGCGUAGAUAUCGUAAGGAAGACCAGUGGCGAAGGCGGGUCUCUGGACAGUUCCUGACGCUGAGGCACGAAGGCCAGGGGAGCAAACGGG
Molecule: ribosomal RNA, 253 nt
Filed under: uncultured bacterium
Lineage: Bacteria
Description: partial 16S ribosomal RNA
Rfam family: Bacterial small subunit ribosomal RNA
Source: RNAcentral